RNAcentral lists this ribosomal RNA (253 nucleotides) under uncultured bacterium. RNAcentral describes it as "partial 16S ribosomal RNA". It matches the Rfam family "Bacterial small subunit ribosomal RNA", at positions 524 to 776 of the family's 1533-position model. The record is from RNAcentral.
UACGUAGGGGGCGAGCGUUGUCCGGAAUCAUUGGGCGUAAAGCGUGCGUAGGCGGCUGCGCAAGUCGGGUGUGAAACCCCGGGGCUCAACCCCGGAACUGCAUCCGAUACUGCGUGGCUAGAGGUAGGUAGGGGAGAUCGGAAUUCCUGGUGUAGCGGUGAAAUGCGCAGAUAUCAGGAGGAACACCGGUGGCGAAGGCGGAUCUCUGGGCCUUACCUGACGCUCAGGCACGAAAGCUAGGGGAGCGAACAGG